This is a long non-coding RNA of Arabidopsis thaliana (thale cress), 1402 nucleotides long. RefSeq annotates it as other RNA. The record is from RefSeq. NCBI's taxonomy places the organism in Eukaryota, Viridiplantae, Streptophyta, Magnoliopsida, Brassicales, Brassicaceae. The transcript has a single exon.
AGACUCUGAUGCAUUUGAUUUGAGAAUACGUCUUCCUGCCCUGUGUUGUACACUGUACAAAGCUAUUAAGCGAAAUGGACAAGUUACAUACGUGCACUGAACUGCUGGAAUAGGAAGGGCUCCUGCUGUUGCGGUAUGUUGCAGAAACCUGUUACUGUCUCUUCUCUUUUUCUCCCUUUUUAUUUUUGUAGCACAUCUUUCAUUGUGAGUCUUUCAUGAGCGUAGAUGUAUUGGUUUCCAGUAUCAAAACAACAUUUUUUAGUUCGGUUUAUAAGACUGUUGCAAACAGUAGUUGUGUUAAUAUUUGUACUUCUUUGGUUGACUAAUGAAGGAAUGAACAAGUGUUGACUUUUGGCUGACUAACAUUGAGAAGAGUAGUUUUAGUUUCAGUUGACAUACAUGUUCUGGGUGCAAGGCUAUAAAACUUAUGGAAGUUCAUGAAUUACUUAUUCUACUUCUGAUCUAUGUUCUCUCUACAUGGUUACCUUGAUAUCUAUAUAUUAUGUGAGGAUGCUUGGGGAUUUGCUUCUUCUCCUAUGCACCGAUGAUUAUGAUAGUUAGAUUUCUAGACCACUGGAUCACGUUUUGUAGUAAUAUAUACUGAAAAUAUAGCACUCAAAUGAUUAAAGCUUGGGUUAGUUCAUCAAAUAGUCUUAGGAUUUAGCUAUUAUAAUUGUGAUAUCUUUAGAUGGCUGCUGGAAAAUAAAUCUUGAAUACCUAAUUUUUUCUGGUUAGCAAAGUGUUAUACUUUCUUAUUCUCUUGGGGCUAUCUACUCUAAUCACUUUUAAAUGAGAGCUCUGCACACUUUAGUGUAAGCAAUAAUUGAUUUAUGAAGAGCGGCGAGGGGUGCAAAUCACUGCUAUCAAUUAACGUAUUUUUUUGUUGGCAAACUAGAAAUUUUUUGAAAGUUAAGUCACCAUCCCAUUCUCACAAAUUGUCUUUUACUGCUAAAUACUUGGAACCAUCACCAUCCCUUUUCACAUAUGAGACUGUUCACGAGUACAUGCAUUGAGAAAUUUCACCAUGAAUACACUCACUCACAAACGUAGGGCUUCACAUAUUGUAAUCUUUGAUGUAACAGAGGCUUUGAUGCAUUUGAUUUGAGAAUGCGUCUUCCUGACGUGGUUAGUACACUGUCCAAAGCUGCUAAGCAAAAUGGAGAAGUUACAUUCGUGCACACUGCACUGCACUACUGGAAUGGGAAAGGGUUGUUUUUUGGUAUAUGGGCAUGAAAGCUUAUUGAUUGUAACUCUGACACUGAAAGUAAAGUGUUAACAUUGGAUGGUAACAGGUGAAUAUUAGAUAAAAUGUUUGAUGUCUUGCUACUAAACACAUAACAACUGUAAAACCAAAGGCCCUUAGCCCAUUAUUAUAAUUUCUAUUCAGCCCAUCAAAUAAAAG